Macaca mulatta (Rhesus monkey) is the source of this 3281-nucleotide non-coding RNA. NCBI's taxonomy places the organism in Eukaryota, Metazoa, Chordata, Mammalia, Primates, Cercopithecidae. The record is from RefSeq and is a predicted model, not a curated record.
AACUCCAUAGACAGGCCAGCACAGCCAGCCUUGCAGCCUGAGAUAAGGCCUUUGGCGGGUGUCUCCCCUAUCGCUCCCUCAAGCCCUCAAGUAAGUGUUGGAGAGAGAGGUGAUGCUUGGUGCUGGUGGAACCCCUGCACAGAGACGGACACAGGAUGAGCUCUAAGUACCCGCGGUCUGUCCGGUGCUGCCUGCCCCUCUGGGCCCUAACACUGGAAGCAGCUCUCAUUCUCCUCUUCUUUUUUUUUACCUACUACGACGCUUCCUUAGAGGAUCAAAAGGGGCUCGUGGCGUCCUAUCAAGUCUGCCAAGAUCUGACCGUGAUGGCGGUCCUUGGCUUGGGCUUCUUCACCUCGAAUUUGCGGAGAAACAGCUGGAGCAGUGUGGCCUUCAACCUCUUCCUGCUGGCCCUUGGUGUGCAGUGGGCAAUCCUGCUGGACGGCUUCCUAAGCCAGUUCUCUCCUGGGAAGGUGGCCAUCAAACUGUUCAGUAUUCGGCUGGCCACCAGGAGCACUAUGUCGAUGCUGAUCUCAAUGAAUGCUGUCCUGGGGAAGGUCAACUUGGUGCAGUUGGUGGUGAUGGAGCUGGUGGAGCUGACAGUCUUUGGCACCAUGAGGAUAGUCAUCAAUAAUAUCUUCAAAAUAGACUACGGCAUGAACAUGAUGCACAUCCACGUGUUCGCAGCCUAUUUUGGGCUGACUGUGGCCUGGUGCCUGCCAAAGCCUCUACUCAAGGGAACAGAGGAUAAAUAUCAGACAACAACGAGCCCCAGUUUGUUUGCCAUGCUGGGCACCCUCUUCUUGUGGAUGUUCUGGCCAACUUUCAACUCUGCUCUGCUGCUAAAUCCAAUCGAAAGGAAGAAUGCCGUGUUCAGCACCUACUAUGCUCUAGCAGUCAGCGCAGUUACAGCCAUCUCAGUGUCAUCCUUGGCUCACCCCCGAGGGAAGAUCAACAUGACUUAUAUGCACAAUGCAGCGUUGGCAGGAGGUGUGGCUCUGAGUGCCUCAUGUCACGUGAUCCAUUCUCCUUGGAUUGCCAUGGUGCUAGGUCUUGUGGCUGGGCUGAUCUCCAUCGGGGGAGCCAAGUGCCUGCCGGUGUGUUUUAACCGAGUGCUGGGGAUUCACGAGAGCCACAGCGUGCACUACACCUUCGGCUUGCCGGCUCUGCUUGGAGAGAUCACCUACAUUGUGCUGAUGGCGCUUCGUGUCGUCUGGGCCAGCAGUAACAUGUGGGUCACUGGGCUUACCCGCCAUCCCCGUAACACUCCCCUCCAACUCAGGAAGAAAUGUGCACAGAGUCCUUAGCUGGGGCGUGUGCAUUCAGGGCCAGGUGCUCAGUUGGCUUCAGUAAAUGCUUGUUGGCUGAUUUAUUCAGAAAUUCUGCCCAGCCCCUACCUUGGAUAGAUUUAUCACCUCUCCAGGCCACCUCUUCUUUCCAAAUAGAGCAGCCUAGGUGUAGAACAAAGGCGCGAAAUCUGAGACCCCACAAAGACAGAGCAGGUCAAAUAGGCCCAAGCCAAUUAAGACUGUGGUUCAGGUCAUGAUGCAGAGCUUUGCUGUGGACCUGCUCCCACUGCGUACUAGCUGGGCAUGCGGCUUAACCUUUCUCGGCCUCAGUCACCCCAUUGUAAAUGGAGAUAAUGAUACUGUCUCCGCUCAUAGGGCUGUUGGGAUGCUACUGGAUUUAAUAAGCGAAUGCAGGAACAUGCUAAGCACAGCCCGUCCCUGAGGCCCAGAGGGGUGGACCUUGGCUGAGGUCUCACUGUGAGGUGGGAAUGUGGGCCUCCAGACCAGAGGGAGGUCCUAUGGCCCCUAGACAGUGGACAGCAAUGGUCAGUUUGACACACCAGAGCCCUGGCCAUUACCUCCUGGAUGUUGUGUGAAUAUUUUCUGGACAUGGCUUAUAUAAAAUGAAAAAGUGAAUUGGGUGCAAUAUAGGGAUGGAUUUUUAAAGAUGAACUGAUAGCCUGAUGAUAAUCAUAUUCACUGAUAACAUUUACUACUGUUAUUGACUGCUUUAUAAGUGUUGAGCAUUAGGCUAAAAACCAUUAUAUGCGUUUUCUCCUUGAAUUCUCACAACUGCCUACUGAGGUAUUCUCAGACUCUAAGAAAUGAUAUUUAGGAGAAGUUAUCUGCCCAAGAUCACUGGGUUGGAACCUGGCUGUAAAAAUGGCUGAAGCAGGUGAUGAGGAGCUGAUGUGUUUGGAGGUGUCUCAGAGAAAUCAUGGAGGUGCUGGGGUUCCUUCUGGUUCUUGGAUGCCUUAUACAGAGACAACCGUAGCCCCAAAUUAUAGGGAUCACAUAACAGUGGGUGAGACAUCCUUGCUUGGGGUGAGGAGGGGAUGACCUGUGUGAAGCAAGGCGCCUCUGUCAUGGGUUCCAGUGAUGUGUCUGCCACUGUCUUAAUAACUGUGCAAUUCUAAGCAGAAGCUUUCCUCCCUCUGGGCCUGAUAGUUCCCCUCUGUAAGAUGAGGACUUGACCUAGCAAGGUCCCACUCGGAUGCCUGUAGAGAACAGGCAGGGGAGGUUAGAAAAAAAAAGCCCGUGAAGGAAGGGAGCUCUUCAGCUCGCACCCACCAUCACAGUGCAGGGACCCAGGCUCAGUGUUGCCAGAUCCAAUGACUUCUCAAGAGAAGCUUGAAAUCUAGAGUUUUGCAUGUGCUCUCCCAAGUACUGGCGGAAAAUUCAAGAUAGUUAGUAACACUGUGUGGCUAAAUUCUGCUUGUGGGCUGUCUAGAUCCCCAAUUCUAUGAUUCUGUGGUUCUCUGGAAGCAUUGGUUCUCCACAGCGCCUGCGUCACCUGGAAGCUUGUUAGAAAUGCAAGCCCUACCUGUGGCCCCACCUCAGACCUACCCAAUCAGAAAUCUGGGGGUGGGACCUAGCAGUUCAUGUUUUAAUAAGCCUCACAGGUAUUCUCUUGCAAGCUCAAGUUUUAGAACCGCUUACCUAUAGCCAAAAAAGAAAAAACCAAUCAGUGGUUUGCUGGUAAAGGAUUAACUUAACAACUGGCUCUCCAAGAAGAUAAAGCCUUGAUUGGUAAUACUUGCAAUUUCUAUGGUACAAACGCUUCCCACAUGACUGAGUUCAAGCUGUCAAGGAGACAUCACUGCACAUGGACUUGGGAAGAGAUGAGAACAAUCAGCCCACUGAGCCUAUGGGAACUGGCUCCAGCACAUCUCUGCAAGUCAACUCUCAUCAGGGAUCGGCUUCCAGGUCCUUCUCAGCACUGGGACACUCAGCUUGGCCAUGGCGAUGAGUAUCACAUCUGGUCUCCUGACAGGU